RNAcentral lists this ribosomal RNA (432 nucleotides) under uncultured bacterium. RNAcentral describes it as "partial 16S ribosomal RNA". It matches the Rfam family "Bacterial small subunit ribosomal RNA", at positions 29 to 507 of the family's 1533-position model. The record is from RNAcentral.
GCGCACGCUGGCGGCAGGCCUAACACAUGCAAGUCGAACGAACUCUUCGGAGUUAGUGGCGGACGGGUGAGUAACACGUGGGAACGUGCCUUUUGGUUCGGAAUAACUCAGGGAAACUUGUGCUAAUACCGAAUGUGCCCUUCGGGGGAAAGAUUUAUCGCCAUUAGAGCGGCCCGCGUCUGAUUAGCUAGUUGGUGAGGUAACGGCUCACCAAGGCGACGAUCAGUAGCUGGUCUGAGAGGAUGACCAGCCACACUGGGACUGAGACACGGCCCAGACUCCUACGGGAGGCAGCAGUGGGGAAUCUUGCGCAAUGGGCGAAAGCCUGACGCAGCCAUGCCGCGUGAAUGAUGAAGGUCUUAGGAUUGUAAAAUUCUUUCACCGGGGACGAUAAUGACGGUACCCGGAGAAGAAGCCCCGGCUAACUUCGUG